Molecule: long non-coding RNA, 496 nt
Filed under: Cicer arietinum (chickpea)
Lineage: Eukaryota; Viridiplantae; Streptophyta; Magnoliopsida; Fabales; Fabaceae
Description: long non-coding RNA (CARI_LNC000742)
Source: RNAcentral
CAGAGUCUUCCUAAUAACAAUAGAGAACAUCAAUCAACAAUAACAACCUUAUAACAACCUUCCACUAAAGUGUGUAUGCCAAAAUAACUCUUAGAGAAGAUAAAACUACUCAAAUUGUAUAUUAAAAUAACAAACUUAGUGGUAGACAUAACAUACUAAAUUUGUAGAUCAAACGAAGCAAGUUUGCUACACACAUGUUACCACCACCGGAACCAAACCCUUAUUUUUCUUCUCUGGCAGUCGUUCUCUUUGUUCUUCUACAUUCAGAUGUAACAUCCGAGCCUAGGAAGGAAGAGGGAAGGCAAGGGUCCCAGGAGCUAUCAGUAUUAGCUGCUGACUGGUGACGAGAGGAUCAUAUAGUUUGAGAGUUGGAUCGAGUUGGAAAGCGUGGUUAUGUCGGAAUUGAAUUGAAUGUGCCCUAUCCCGCGAAGGAGAGGAACCCGUUAAAUCCCUUUUAUUUCCUUCACAUGGGCCUAGCCCAAUAAUACCUUUUUUU